This is a long non-coding RNA of Mytilus californianus (California mussel), 1028 nucleotides long. RefSeq lists it as uncharacterized. The record is from RefSeq and is a predicted model, not a curated record. Lineage: Eukaryota; Metazoa; Mollusca; Bivalvia; Mytilida; Mytilidae. The transcript is spliced from 3 exons.
GUUUUAGAAUUUAACAACAGUUUAUCGAAGGAUUUAGAUCUAAUGUUGUAGUUGUAGUGUGUAUUAGACAUUUUGGAUAGUUACUUUUACCGACAUUGGAAAAAUGACAUAUUUUAUUUGUACAUAGCCAGUUACAAUAAUGGGGCGCUGUUUCAGUAAAGAAGACGUAGAAUCAUAUACUGCCACCGGAGGAAUAGACAAAAAUAUAGUCGACCUACAAAACAUUGUUAAAGAGUCGGCUUGGAAAAGGUACAGCGAUAGUAGACAAAAGGAUUUUCCAACGGCGAUGAAAAAGGUUCGAUUAGAUUUUGAUUGGACAGGUGUAAAAUUUAUUCCAACGGAACCUGAAUAUUCAGAUUCCGAACCAGCUAAACCCGUAACAGAUGAAGGUGGAUCACAAGUUUUAUUUGAAUCGGUUUUCACAAAUAAAAGCGACCAAGAGCAACACCAUUCUUUGAAAACUGAACAACAGACUACAGGAACAUGCAAUAGCUCAAUAACAAAAGGUUAUACAACUGGCUUCAAUGUUGGCCUGACACUGUCUGCUCCUAUAGAUAUAUUGAAGACAACAGCUGGUUUUUCUAAAGGUUUCUCAGUCGAAAAUACAUUGGCGAAUUAAGAUCAAAGAACAAUGACUUGGUCAGCAGAAGGUGUUUUGUUUUUUGAAAAGCAAUCUAUGCUUACUGCAAAACUUCAAAUAAAAGAAGAGCACAGAUCUUUUACUUUUACAACUAAGGUUGCAGUAAAAGGAGAAGUUAUAGUUACGUUCGAUGAAAGAAAAAACAACAGAUAUCUGAUGGAAUACAGAGCACCAAUAAGAACAAUUUUAGUUCAAAAGAAAGAUAAGUUUACGGAUGCAAAAGGAGAAAUCUUUGUAGAAGACAUUGAUGGAACAGCUUAUGUGAAAGUUGAAGGGAAAUGUAAUUUCAAAUAUGGUAUCAAACAAGAGAUCAUUAUCAACCAGAUCAGUUGUAAAGAAUAAAUUAGUUUGUCCUGAAAUUCAAAAAACAAUACAGAUGCUAAUUCUU